Molecule: ribosomal RNA, 1376 nt
Filed under: uncultured bacterium
Lineage: Bacteria
Description: 16S ribosomal RNA
Rfam family: Bacterial small subunit ribosomal RNA
Source: RNAcentral
GGCGGCGUGCCUAAUACAUGCAAGUAGAACGCUGAAGAGAGGAGCUUGCUCUUCUUGGAUGAGUUGCGAACGGGUGAGUAACGCGUAGGUAACCUGCCUUGUAGCGGGGGAUAACUAUUGGAAACGAUAGCUAAUACCGCAUAACAAUGGAUGACACAUGUCAUUUAUUUGAAAGGGGCAAUUGCUCCACUACAAGAUGGACCUGCGUUGUAUUAGCUAGUAGGUGAGGUAACGGCUCACCUAGGCGACGAUACAUAGCCGACCUGAGAGGGUGAUCGGCCACACUGGGACUGAGACACGGCCCAGACUCCUACGGGAGGCAGCAGUAGGGAAUCUUCGGCAAUGGGGGCAACCCUGACCGAGCAACGCCGCGUGAGUGAAGAAGGUUUUCGGAUCGUAAAGCUCUGUUGUAAGUCAAGAACGAGUGUGAGAGUGGAAAGUUCACACUGUGACGGUAGCUUACCAGAAAGGGACGGCUAACUACGUGCCAGCAGCCGCGGUAAUACGUAGGUCCCGAGCGUUGUCCGGAUUUAUUGGGCGUAAAGCGAGCGCAGGCGGUUUGAUAAGUCUGAAGUUAAAGGCUGUGGCUCAACCAUAGUUCGCUUUGGAAACUGUCAAACUUGAGUGCAGAAGGGGAGAGUGGAAUUCCAUGUGUAGCGGUGAAAUGCGUAGAUAUAUGGAGGAACACCGGUGGCGAAAGCGGCUCUCUGGUCUGUAACUGACGCUGAGGCUCGAAAGCGUGGGGAGCGAACAGGAUUAGAUACCCUGGUAGUCCACGCCGUAAACGAUGAGUGCUAGGUGUUGGAUCCUUUCCGGGAUUCAGUGCCGCAGCUAACGCAUUAAGCACUCCGCCUGGGGAGUACGACCGCAAGGUUGAAACUCAAAGGAAUUGACGGGGGCCCGCACAAGCGGUGGAGCAUGUGGUUUAAUUCGAAGCAACGCGAAGAACCUUACCAGGUCUUGACAUCCCGAUGCUAUUUCUAGAGAUAGAAAGUUACUUCGGUACAUCGGUGACAGGUGGUGCAUGGUUGUCGUCAGCUCGUGUCGUGAGAUGUUGGGUUAAGUCCCGCAACGAGCGCAACCCCUAUUGUUAGUUGCCAUCAUUCAGUUGGGCACUCUAGCGAGACUGCCGGUAAUAAACCGGAGGAAGGUGGGGAUGACGUCAAAUCAUCGUGCCCCUUAUGACCUGGGCUACACACGUGCUACAAUGGUUGGUACAACGAGUUGCGAGUCGGUGACGGCAAGCUAAUCUCUUAAAGCCAAUCUCAGUUCGGAUUGUAGGCUGCAACUCGCCUACAUGAAGUCGGAAUCGCUAGUAAUCGCGGAUCAGCACGCCGCGGUGAAUACGUUCCCGGGCCUUGACACACCGCCCGUCA